GGGAGUGCUUAACUUUGGAGUUGAAAUGGGCUUGGAGAAGGCCUUCCAGAAGUAAUGUUUGAGCUGGGUUGUAAAGGAUGAUAGAGUUCACCAGAAAUCUGUAUGAAAGGAUUGUCCUAGAGAAAAAAAAAAACCGCAGAUGCCUUGCAAAUGUUUCAUUACAGCUGCUAUUGAGUCAAGCGUGAGGCACUGUGAUGAGAGAAGUGCAGGAGAGGAUGACCCAACUCAAGAGACAGAAGCAACUGAACUGUGUCUGUACCUGAGCAGUUACGGCAGUGAGAGUCACGGCCAACUUCCUCUGUGGGGCCUGUACCCUGCAAACAGGGUUCUGUGGAAGUGGUGGAGGCUUCAGAGAGGGGAUAGAGUCAGCCUCUGCCUUCAGGAAGCAACAUCACUCACCAGCCCUUUCACCCACUAGACUGUUAAUGGAGGUUUUAAAUAGAAAAUGAUGUGAUCUUCUUUCUUGAAUGAUUAUACUGCUAAAGUUUCUAAAUAUAAACUUAAACUAUGAUACCUCCUACAUACACACACACGGUCCUUAUGUCAGAGUGGUGACUGUCCACCUGUCACGGCUUUUUCACAUCUUUUUAUUUUGAAAAAUUUCAAAGAUAGAAAAGUUGCAAGUAGUACAAUGAACACCAUAUGUCACCAGAUGUUCACGCAGAUUUAUCAAUUAAAUUUUACUGCAUUUGCAUUCUAUUUUUUAAAAAUCAUUUGCUGAACCAUUUAAGAGUUAACUAUAGACACUGUGACACUUCAUCCAAAAAUACUUCGGUGUGUAUCUCCUAAGAAUAAAAAUAUUCAUCCUAUGUAACUAUAAAAUAAGUAUCUCGGCCGGGCGCGGUGGCUCACGCCUGUAAUCCCAGCACUUUGGGAGGCCGAGGCGGGUGGAUCACCUGAGGUCAGGAGUUUGAGGCCAGCCUGACCAACAUGGAGAAACCCCAUCUCUACUAAAAAUACAAAAAAAGCAGCCGGAUGUGGUGGUGCAUGCCUGUAAUCCCAGCUACUCGGGAGGCAGAGGCAGGAGAAUCACUUGAACCCAGGAGGCGGAGGUUGUGGUGAGCCGAGAUCAUGCCAUUGCACUCCGGCC
Molecule: long non-coding RNA, 1090 nt
Filed under: Homo sapiens (human)
Lineage: Eukaryota; Metazoa; Chordata; Mammalia; Primates; Hominidae
Description: HSALNT0376329
Source: RNAcentral